Cyanistes caeruleus (blue tit) is the source of this 776-nucleotide non-coding RNA. Lineage: Eukaryota; Metazoa; Chordata; Aves; Passeriformes; Paridae. The record is from RefSeq and is a predicted model, not a curated record.
ACUUCUCGGGCUUCCAGUCCCACCGGCCGCCCCGCGGCGCCGCCGCCUGCGCCCUCAGCGAGGCCGACCUCAUCGAGUUCCCCUGCGAGCGCUUCAUGGACAGCGGCGGCGGCCGGCACGGGGACGAGCACCUGCUGCAGCGCUUCGCCGACUGAGGGCCCCGGAGGCCCGGCGGGGGAAGGCGGCCCUCGGCCUGCGGGGCCACGGUGCGGGCCCAGGGGUCGCGGCCUCUGAGGCGCUGCUUUCAGCCGCCCGUAGUGCGGGCCGGGGCUGAGGCUGCCCGUAGCACGGGGUUACCUCUGCCGGGACCUCGCCGUUUUGUCAGGAAUCAUCACUAACCCAAGGAAAAGCCCCGACAGGUGGUUUCCUCCGACUGCAAGUUGGGAACAAGUUACAGCGAGCGGCCUGGUCCUGUGUGAGGAGUUUUGAACAGGUCUUUCCAAGGCCCCAGCCCUUCCUAAUCAAAAAAUUUGGAUCGAGGGCCAUCUUUUAAUUGAACUGUGUGCAACUGAGGGCUGGAAAUGUAGGGAGUUUUGCUGAAUAGUUUGAAGGCUGUGCCGUUUCAACUCAAACCGAAUGUGAGGCAAUUUAAUGUGCACAAGUGUGCUUUUAUACUUUUCUGUAAACGAGAAACAGUAAUGCAGCUGGUUAGUUCUACAGGAAUAUAUUGCUGACACCACUAAGAAAAAACUAACAUAUUUUUUGUAGAAUGUUUACAAAUGAGCUAUUUUUAAACUUUUUUUGAAUAAAUACUGUUUGGUACUUGUACACAUUAA